AUCCGGCUGACGAGUCCCAAGUAGGACGAAACUUGCGUCAAACUGGAU
This 48-nucleotide non-coding RNA is filed under the name Schistosoma mansoni. Lineage: Eukaryota; Metazoa; Platyhelminthes; Trematoda; Strigeidida; Schistosomatidae. The record is from RNAcentral.